RNAcentral lists this ribosomal RNA (301 nucleotides) under uncultured bacterium. RNAcentral's name for it is "partial 16S ribosomal RNA". It matches the Rfam family "Bacterial small subunit ribosomal RNA", at positions 509 to 807 of the family's 1533-position model. The record is from RNAcentral.
CAGUCGCCGCGGGAAUACGUAGGUGGCAAGCGUUGUCCGGAAUUAUUGGGCGUAAAGGGCUCGCAGGCGGUUUCUUAAGUCUGAUGUGAAAGCCCCCGGCUCAACCGGGGAGGGUCAUUGGAAGCUGGGAAACUUGAGUGCAGAAGAGGAGAGUGGAAUUCCACGUGUAGCGGUGAAAUGCGUAGAGAUGUGGAGGAACACCAGUGGCGAAGGCGACUCUCUGGUCUGUAACUGACGCUGAGGAGCGAAAGCGUGGGGAGCGAACAGGAUUAGAUACCCCAGUAGUCCCUGUCUCUUAUAC